UCUCUCACAUGAACCUUCUCUUCGUCUUCUCUUGGUCGCCCUCUAUCGUUUUCGUCGGUUUGCACCCCACCGUUUACCUAGUCGUCAACAUUUAGAUUCACCAUCGUUCUCCCUUCGUCGGUGUUCGUGCAAUCAAUGCCUAUCGCGCGAGGUCGUUCUAUUUCGCGUUUCUUCCAGUUGUCGUUGCGCCCAAACUCGCACCUUUCAUUUUUAUCAAAUUUAGUUUUCGUUCCUCCAAGCCCCACCCACCCUCAUUCGAUCCUCUCUUCCAAUCAAUCUCUCCCCACAUUCACUCUUCGAUGAUUUCAUUCCGCACAAGGUUUUCGUUCGUGUCGAAGCCGGUUGCCUAUAAAUGAAGCGUAAUGGUGUGUUUCAAGCGAAUGGUACGUUUUUGAAAUUUCAGCACUCAUAAUAUCUUCCUCUUUUUUAAAGCUACAACCGAAUAACACUGUCGUUUGUCGGGGUAUGGAUAGUAUCGGAGAUCACUACUUGAAUUCCUUAGGGACCGACAUUUUCAUUGGAGAAGACCUAGACUGGUCUUUACCAUUUCUCUAUUUCUCUGUUUCUCUCUCUUUUGAAAAUGUUGAUGAUGUGUGUUAUGUAAUGAGAGAUGUAGAGAUUUUUUCUUUUUUUUUCUUUAACUGGAAUUUGACGUUGGUGUGCUUUUGUUGAAGACAAUUGAGGAUUCAAAAAGCCGCUUUCUGGUUAUUAUGAUUCCAGUUCGCCGGAUGGAUCAGCUGCUUCAAACAAUAUAAUAUAGAAAAGGAAUAGAAGGAGGAAGGUUAACGAUGGGGGAAAGCUCUCUUAAUUGAUAAUUUUUGUUUCUAAUUUGAUUUAACUCAAUUUGCAGAACUACUUACAAAGGGUGAUGAGGUAGCAGUAAAGUUUCACUCUUAUGAUAAUUUUUUUUUUGUUUAUAAGAAGUAGCGAGGAAGUGUGUUUUAAGAAUGAAAUGUCUGAAAAUGAAGGUUGUUCAUCCGUUGUAUUUUUUUUGCGCACAUGUUUCAACAUUUCAUCAGUUACUGCUUGGUUAUAUAAUUAUGAUCUUAUUGUUUCAAGGUUAUUGUGGAGAAGGCAGAGAGAAGUGACAUCCCUAGCAUUGAUAAGAAGAAGGUUGAUUUUCAUUCUUAUGAAUCAAUUUAAUACAAGAGUGCGAAUGGAGGUUGCUGGUCAUGGAUUUAUCCCAAAUACCAUGAACGAGAUGAAUGAACAAGAGGCUGCUUUGCCAUGCGCUCAAACAAAGUAAAAAGCAGAAGCCAUAGGUAUAUAAGGUUAUGGAAAUGAAGACAUUGAUUUUACAGCAUUUGUAAAUUCCCUUUCAGUUUCUCAACGAAAAUGCUUCCUUUUUUUGUUUUUGUUUGUCUUUUUUUGGUUCUUUAAUAUAUAUGUAUGCCCUGUGCCCUCCAAGGUUUCUCUUCUUUAAGCUAAUUGAUAGAAUGAAUCUCCUUUUUCAACUAAUAUUUUAUUUUGUAUUUUUUUCCUUUAUCAUUUUGAUGGCUAAGAACUGUUCUGAUGCUUUGUUUACAAAAGUGGUUCGAUCCAAUCAAGCUAUGCCUUUAGAUUCAAAUUUUACUUAUUUUUGGUGCAACCAAUGUGAUGCUGAGAAUUUUAAAGGCCAAAAUUUGAUUACUUUUGUUAAUAAUAUUGCUAAAAUAGCAUUAUGAAUCGAUGAAUCUUCGACCUUUAAAAGCAUUACUAAUUUCUUAAUAAGAAUGUCCAGUUGAGGUCUAUGAUUAGCAUCUUUUUUAUCCUAAUUAUUCUAAAAGAAACUACACCUGAAAAGAGUACAGAAACUAGUUUAUCAUCUAAAUUAAUUUUUGAACUUGGAAAUUUAUUCCAUCUAAGUUUUUAACUUUUCAUAGUAGGAUACUUUAAUGUCCAGAAGGUGUCCAUGUCUUGGAGCUAUAUCCUAAAGAAGUAAAGUAUAAAAGUUUUAGAAAAGAUGUCAACACUCAACAUACCUUAACUUGUGAUAAAGCAUUCUCGAUCCAAAAUAAGGUCGUUGAUAAUGUAAGUACUUUCCAUAUUGUUAAAUUUUUUGUAUUACACUUUCUUAUGAUUAUUGAAUAUAUGUGGCCCUAUCUUGAUAAGGUUUAUCUGUUUCAUCAGCAAUAUCCAUUCUUAAGUCAUUCUAUCAACUUUUUUGUUGGUUAACUAUGUUAACUCCGCCUGUCAUGCUGCAUCUGUUCAGAAUUUUUUUUUGUUUUUUUCUUGACACAGGCAAUAUGCAAAACAACAAGAAAUAUUACCUAACCUAUAAUUGCAGAGCAAAUUCCCAAAUUUAAGAUUGAUUCUGUUGAAUUUGAAGCACUCACACUGGGGUCCUUGCCGCCAACAUUUCAAGAAUUACAAAAGAAAUGCAUAUACAAAAGUAGACUUGCAAUGCACGAAUGCAUAUACAAAAGAGUUUGAGAGUUGCUUCCCUUCUGAUGCAAAUAUCAAUAAUGUUGCGAAGAUUGGCUCUACUGUUGGUAGUACUUAUUUUAGCUCAUGAAUUGGAGGUAGUAGAGGAUGCAGAAUUCAAGUUUAUUUGAAGCCAAGUUUCAUUCAAGGUC
Long non-coding RNA from Cucumis melo (muskmelon), 2555 nucleotides. RefSeq lists it as uncharacterized. The transcript is spliced from 5 exons. Lineage: Eukaryota; Viridiplantae; Streptophyta; Magnoliopsida; Cucurbitales; Cucurbitaceae. The record is from RefSeq and is a predicted model, not a curated record.